RNAcentral lists this ribosomal RNA (1320 nucleotides) under uncultured Alphaproteobacteria bacterium. Its description in RNAcentral is "uncultured alpha proteobacterium 16S ribosomal RNA". It matches the Rfam family "Bacterial small subunit ribosomal RNA", at positions 33 to 1399 of the family's 1533-position model. Lineage: Bacteria; Pseudomonadati; Pseudomonadota; Alphaproteobacteria. The record is from RNAcentral.
ACGCUGGCGGCACGCCUAACACAUGCAAGUCGAACGAAGUAGCAAUACUUAGUGGCAGACGGGUGAGUAACAUGUAGGUAUCUGCCCUUUGGCCUGGAAUAACACGAGGAAACUUGUGCUAAUACCGGAUAAGUCUUUACGGAGAAAGCUUUAUGCACCAUUGGAUGAGCCUGCACUUGAUUAGUUUGUUGGUGGGGUAAUGGCCUACCAAGACUGUGAUCAAUAGCUGAUUUGAGAGGAUGAUCAGCCACAUUGGGACUGAGACACGGCCCAAACUCCUACGGGAGGCAGCAGUGGGGAAUCUUGCACAAUGGAGGAAACUCUGAUGCAGCGAUGCCGCGUGAGUGAAGAAGGCCCUUGGGUUGUAAAGCUCUUUCGUCGGGGAAGAAAAUGACUGUACCCGAAUAAGAAGGUCCGGCUAACUUCGUGCCAGCAGCCGCGGUAAUACGAAGGGACCUAGCGUAGUUCGGAAUUACUGGGCUUAAAGAGUUCGUAGGUGGUUGAAAAAGUUAGUGGUGAAAUCCCAGAGCUUAACUCUGGAACUGCCAUUAAAACUUUUCAGCUAGAGUAUGAUAGAGGAAAGCAGAAUUUCUAGUGUAGAGGUGAAAUUCGUAGAUAUUAGAAAGAAUACCAAUUGCGAAGGCAGCUUUCUGGGAUCAUUACUGACACUGAGGAACGAAAGCAUGGGUAGCGAAGAGGAUUAGAUACCCUCGUAGUCCAUGCCGUAAACGAUGUGUGUUAGACGUUGGAAAUUUAUUUUCAGUGUCGCAGGGAAACCGAUAAACACACCGCCUGGGGAGUACGACCGCAAGGUUAAAACUCAAAUGAAUUGACGGGGACCCGCACAAGUAGUGGAGCAUGUGGUUUAAUUCGAAGAUACGCGCAGAACCUUACCAACACUUGACAUGUUCGUCGCGACUCUAAGAGAUUAGAGUUUUCGGUUCGGCCGGACGAAACACAGGUGCUGCAUGGCUGUCGUCAGCUCGUGUCGUGAGAUGUUGGGUUAAGUCCCGCAACGAGCGCAACCCUCACUUUUAGUUGCCAUCAUUAAGUUGGGCACUCUGAAAGAACUGCCAGUGAUAAGCUGGAGGAAGGUGGGGAUGACGUCAAGUCCUCAUGGCCCUUACGUGUUGGGCUACACACGUGCUACAAUGGUAUCUACAACAGGAAGCAAAACUGCGAAGUUAAGCAAAUCCCUAAAAGAUACCUCAGUUCGGAUUGCACUCUGCAACUCGAGUGCAUGAAGCUGGAAUUACUAGUAAUCGUGGAUCAGCGUGCCACGGUGAAUGCGUUCCCGGGUCUUGUACACACCGCCCGUCA